This 443-nucleotide ribosomal RNA is filed under the name uncultured bacterium. RNAcentral describes it as "partial 16S ribosomal RNA". It matches the Rfam family "Bacterial small subunit ribosomal RNA", at positions 1052 to 1504 of the family's 1533-position model. The record is from RNAcentral.
UCGUCAGCUCGUGCCGUGAGGUGUCAGGUUAAGUCGUACAACGAGCGCAACCCUUGUCAUUAGUUACCAGCAUGUAGAGGUGGGGACUCUAAUGAUACUGCCGGAGUAAGCCGCGAGGAAGGGGGGGACGACGUCAAAUCAGCACGGCCGUUACGUCCGGGGCUACACACGUGUUACAAUGGGGGGUACAGAGGGCAGUUACCUGGUGACAGGAUAAGAAUCUUUAAAGGUGGUCUUAGUAUGGAUUGGAGUCUGCAACUCGACUCCAUGAAGUUGGAUUCGCUAGUAAUCGCAGAUCAGCCAUGCUGCGGUGAAUUCGUUCCCGGGCCUUGUACACCCCCCCCGUCAAGCCAUGGGAGUUGGUGGUACCUAAAGAGCGUAACCGCGAGGAGCGUUUAAGGGUAAUGCUAAUAACUGGGGCUAAGUGGAACCAAGGUACCGUA